GAGCAUAUAGCUCAGUUGGUAGAGUGCUUGCCUUGUAGGCACAAGGCCCUGGGUUCAAUCCCCAGUACAACCA
This is a non-coding RNA of Ictidomys tridecemlineatus (thirteen-lined ground squirrel), 73 nucleotides long. The record is from Rfam. NCBI's taxonomy places the organism in Eukaryota, Metazoa, Chordata, Mammalia, Rodentia, Sciuridae.